RNAcentral lists this long non-coding RNA (1532 nucleotides) under Sorghum bicolor (sorghum). Its description in RNAcentral is "long non-coding RNA (SBIC_LNC005122)". Lineage: Eukaryota; Viridiplantae; Streptophyta; Magnoliopsida; Poales; Poaceae. The record is from RNAcentral.
CCUCGCGUCCCACAACGCAAGCGCGAAAAUCCCAUCCUUAGGGGGCAGCCACACGGAUUUCUUAGCGAUUCAGAUAAUGAGUCGAAGCGGGAAAGCGCGCGCACUAUCGCCGCGCUUAGGACUUCUAUGCGGUCACUACGUGGUGUAGUGGAAGAGCUUAAAGGCGAACUAGCUAACAUCCGCCUGAAAUAUAUAGAGCUUAAGGACGACUUAGCCACUGUACAAUUCGGUCUAACAAACCAGCUUGUCAAGGUGGCUCGGGCUGCGGGUGUAGAGCAUGUUCUAGACACAAACCACAUCUAGUUUAAUUUUGCUUAGCCGAGUAAUUUAUUUUCCCUUUUAUUCAGAUUUCCUUCAUUUACUUUGUAAUCAAUGUCUCGGCUUAUAUUGAAUAAUAAAGAAGUCCUUUGUUCGAAUUAUUUUGUCUCCACUUGUUUUUGUAUUAUUUUUGUCUACUUGAGAAAAAUCAAAGAAGAGGUAAAAAACAAGUGUGGGGGAGAAAUCGCCAUCAAGGUAAUCUUACAUAGAAAAAAAAUUUUAGAAUUAAUUUUAUUCCUCCUACGACAAUUUAAAUCUGAUUUAUAUGAUAAAAAUAUUGCUAAUAAAAUAAAAAGAUAAAAAAAAAUAAAUGAAUACUCCAUUUCCUUUCUGCCUUUGAAAUUAAACAUGCAUACUCUUUAUUCCUCGCCAAAAGCCUACCAUUUAUGAGCAACCUUUUAUAAGGACCCCAUUGCUUCUAAGUAAUUGAGAUUUUCUAUAUAGUAGGAUGAUUUGAAACUUGCUCACUUAUGCAAUGAACUUGGGAAUUUAUUUGAUAAAAUUAAAAUUGCAAAAAGUCUGCUCUUCAAUGAUAGAUAAUUACCUACCAAGGCCAAAUAUAUUACUCUUGAUAAAAAUUCUACAAAUAGCUGCUUAUUUGUUUUGAGUCGUGUCAAGUCUUGUUGACCCUUAUUAAGAGAUUUAUCAUGCUCUCAAGAUCAAGAUCACGUACACUCCAAAUACAUAUAUAUGCCGCUUCUACACUGGGAGUGCGCAAAAACAUGCCUUACAUGUCCACCAUACAAACACUCCAUGUUUUAAAGAAUGAUCUCUCUAGUGCAUCUUAGAUAAAGACAUGGGCUAUGCAAAUAUAUAUAUAUAUAUAAAGAGAAGAAAAAAAAAUGGGCAAGUGUCCGCCGUAGAAUUAGGGGUAUAAAAAUACCCACCUGAAAAAAAUAUAGGACACAUGAAGGUCCUAAGUAUACAAAAAAAAGAUGAGCACAUGAAGGUUCACAAGAAAAUAAAAGAGUUAUGAUAGCCAUGUCUUGAAAUACUUGAUGAGAUCAUAUCAACCAAUAGAGUUGUUUAUACCAUAUACCACACACUUGCACAUCUUGAUCUAAGGGUAUGACACUUCUCUUCUUGGAUCCGAGAUUUGACUCGACAAUACAUACAAGGUAAGUAUGCAUUCUCCUUGGUCCAUACCCAAAACUCCAAAUACAGCUUAUAGAGGUAGGACAAAUCAAGAGGUACUUUUACCUUGGUAAGGAACC